UGCAUUCGAUGAUAACAUCAUGUUAUUAAAGUUAUAAAUAUAUAACAUUCAAUUCAUAUUCAUAUUUCAUAUUAUAGUUAUGUACAUAUUAUGAAUUAUGAAAAAAAUACUUAUUAAAUAGUAACACUGCAAAAACACAAAUGAUAAUGGAGGACGAUUUAAAUAUUUAAUAGAAUUUUUGAGAAGGCGAGGUGCAGCCGAAUAUAUUAUUGAAGAGUUUCAAAAUGAAAAGAUUGAUAAAAGUAUACUGACGUUAAUGGAUAUUAAUGAUACUAUGCUUUUGAAAUUAAUUCCACAUUAUGGUGAUCGAUUGGCAGUUUUAGAUUUUGUUAAAAAAACUCACAGUCUUAAACGUAAAACAGAUUCAUAUGAGGAAUUAAGUAAUAAAAUCAAUGCAAAUAAAAAAGAAAAACUUCAUCUAGAAAAUAAAACUCAUGCAAUAAAAACGGUGAAGUGUAUUGAAAUUGGUUGGAUGCAUUUUGAUUGAAAUUUGUGCAGAUAUAGACAAGUUCGUAAAAAAGAGGGAGGAGGUACCAGAAAUAUAAAAAUGCUUAAGGAAUGUAAUAAAACAGAAAUUAUGGAUGCUGCAAUAAAAAUAUUUUUUCCCAACGGUCAGUCAACUAAAGGUUCAAUAUGUGAUUUUCAAACGGAUUUAUUUGAUUUUCAAUAAAUUCCAUUUAUGGAAGGUAUAACUAUUUCAGAACUGAUACAAAAUACAAGAUUAAAAUCAUUAAGGUUUUACUUAGCAACAAAAAGGAAGUAUACAUCUGAAUGUUGUGAUAACACUGAUUCUAAUUGCAUUGCUCCAAAUUAAACUAUUGAUCGUGAAAACCUUUCAACAAUAACAAAUAGUUUAGAUGAAUAUCCACCUAAAAAUGAUGAAUCUAAUUACUUGGCUUCCACUACACCACCAUUGAUUGAUGAUGAAUAUGAUGAUGAGGUACUUAUAUCUUGGUUUCAAACACGUGGCGCUACAAUACACCAUGAACCACAGAAUCAUAAUUAUAAUUUGAAUGCACCUGCUACUGUCACAUCCGAAAGUGAAUUGUAUUUACCAAGUAACACCAGCAAUAAAAUAAUUACUAGUACUACGGAGAAUUCAAGGUCUCCCUCAGUUCAUGUCAUUACAACUGUUGAAAAUGUACCUACAAAUAGUUUUCCUGAUAUUGAUAACUUUCAAAAUCAUAACCACUUAAUCCUUUAUCGAGGAAGAAUUUUUCAUGAGUUAUUAGAUGCAGUUGAAAACAUUGAUAAGACCUGUGACCAAUGAUGACUGGGAAAAAUAUAGUUUCUUAAAUAUUAUUUCUUCUGCUGAUGAUUUACAAAAAAUGUAAAGAAAGAUUGAGAAGAGUUGAAACUAGGACUGACAUAAAUACUGAAACUGACGAAGAAUGUGCUAAGAAAAACAGGAAAAAACGCUGUGCUAGAAAAAUAUUUGAUGCCUAGAAAAAAUCUCCUGUAAAAUCGGCAAGAAAACAAUUGUUUAAAACACCUGAUAUUGAUGAUUUCCCUGUUCUAAUGAAUUCAGAAGAUUCAGAUAAUCCAUCUCAAAAAACCACAAACAUAGAACCACGUUCGCCCGAAAUAAAAAUGCCAGUUAUUUACCAGUCUCCAUAUAAUCCCAAAAAUGUUCCUGAUAGUCACAACAUGAUAACCAAUGACAUAUUUAUAUCAGAAGAGCAGUGAACAGACUCAAUUUAAUUCUCCUAAAAAAGUAAAACCGACCCAUAGAUCUCCAUAUAAUCAUAGUAUUUUCAAUAUCGAUGAUGAUCAUAACGUGAUAUCUAACGGUGAUGAGUAUUUAUCCCAGAAAAGCAGCAAUAAGACCGUUUUGAAUUCUUCGAAAAAAAGGAAAACCAACCUACAGAUCUCCAUAUAGUCAUAGAAGUAUUUUCAAUACCAUUAAUGGUCAUAACAUGAUAGAUAAAGGUGAAUAUUAAUUUACUCAAAAAAGGCAUGAACUAAGUCCAGAUAAUAUGUUUGAUUACAAUACUAUUGAUACAAAUGCUAGUAAACACAGACUAAAAACAAUGCAUUAUAAUAACUGCAGAAAUUCUCCAGAAUUUAUUUUUAAAAGUGGUAAACGUACCAACUCUAAACUACUCUCUCUGAAAAAUCAACACACUGUAGCUUUUAACUCUCCCAAAAAACGAUUUUCUUCUCAACAAAUGCUGAAUAGUCUACCACCUGAUGUUUGUUUGAGAAAACUUUUGGCCAAUCAAGUUGUCAUGAAAAUUGAAUAGAAAUCCAUCAAUAAACAAUUAAAGAAAAUAACUGAGUUUAAGGAUAAUCACUUGGAUAUCGAAAAAGAAGACUUCUCCAAUUUAGACUGUUUAUUUCCUUUAGAAAGUGAGAAUGAUCUAAUAAACAUUGAAAAUCAAAUUCAAAGUACUGCAACUUGUAGAAAAAAAUUGGUAAAAGAAUUAUCCUUGUCUGGAGGAUCGAAAGUAAAAAUUAUACAGCAAGAAUUUUAAACAAACUAUUCAAAGAUGAACUACUUCAAAAUUACUCCUACUUUGGCAGGAACAAAAAAAAAAGAAAUUUUCCAGCCUCUCAAUAUGCAGUAUAAUUCAUGAUGCAGUUCAACGCGUACACGAUUUUAAAGAUACCAGUACAACCGACAUUGAGACCAGAAUCGGCAAUCAUCUUAUUCAUGCACCAUUUCG
Myzus persicae (green peach aphid) is the source of this 2666-nucleotide long non-coding RNA. RefSeq lists it as uncharacterized. The transcript has 14 exons. The record is from RefSeq and is a predicted model, not a curated record. Lineage: Eukaryota; Metazoa; Arthropoda; Insecta; Hemiptera; Aphididae.